UCGGCAGCAACUAUCGCGCAAUUGUGCUUCGUUUUUUUUUUCGUUCAUACAGCGAGAUCCACAAUGGAUGUGAAAGUGUUCAAUUAAUUCAGUAAAGUACAAAUUUAGCUAAAUUGUGCCCAGAAAUGCAGCGAAAAUUCAAUUAGUAAUGCAAUUAGUGCUGGCAGUGUGAUUUGGCUGCAUUUCGGCAACAUAACCUCAGAUUGGCUACAAUUGACUUACACACCAUACGAAAGCCAUUUACUUGAAAGUGCAGUAAUGUGCAUUGACGCCGCCUCGCUUCUCACCUGAAUUCACCACAGCUACGGAAGGACGGAAAUGACCAGCUUUUACUUUCGUCUCGUUGCGUUGGACUUAAUGGAGUGUGUGGUAAAGUGUCUGAAAUGGUCCCUACCAUCAUGAGCUGGCUACUUAGGGUGCGAACCCUUCUCCAAAUUUAAUCCUGCAGACAAGGUAGCAUCUAGCUACCAUCACUCAGCGCUUCAGUUUGUUGGCCCGACUCUACUGUCUGCCUAUUAAAUUAAUAUGCCACAUUCGCUCCCAACAGGUUUCGUUGCAGGCAUGCUUUUUUAUUUCGUUUGCCGAAAAACAGCGGAACUUCCAUAUAAGCAAAUUUUUGGGUGUUAACUGAAGAGGUCCCAAGCAUCCUGUUCCUGCAAUUAAAUUAAAUUGAAACAUAAAAUCCUUAUCCAAUCUGUGAACACAAUAAUGAAUUAUAUUUGUAACGCUAUAUAUAAAGAAUAAAAAUAAUUGUAUUACUAA
This is a long non-coding RNA of Scaptodrosophila lebanonensis, 762 nucleotides long. RefSeq lists it as uncharacterized. The record is from RefSeq and is a predicted model, not a curated record. The transcript has 2 exons. Lineage: Eukaryota; Metazoa; Arthropoda; Insecta; Diptera; Drosophilidae.